UCCCCCUCAGGUUUGCCGCAACCGCUGUUAAUGCGGAACAGUUUGUCCUGUACAUGUGAAUGAAUGAAAUCAGCUUUCACAUUCGCUGGGAAUGCAUCGAUGAUACAGCUAAACUUAAAUGUUUAAUGACAAUAAAUCAAUCGUCGAUUAGUAGAUUACGCUGUGAUAAGCACAUACAAAUUGAAACCAACAACAAAUGUAGCCCAAAGAGCUCAGUGACCUUGGUUUGAAACUAUAGGGUUUUCCUAGCAAAGAAUAUCAAUCAUUACUUGAAAGAAAUACCAUUAGUAAUACACAUUAUGAUAUAGAGUAGGACAAAGGUUUUUUUUUUACAAUACGUAUAAAGCACGUGUUUGAAUUUAAUAAUGGUUUUAGAAUAAGGCGAUGAUACUCUGCUCCAUUGUGCAACAUGAAGGGCUUUGUUGAAGCACGAGGAGCUUAUCAGGCAGCGCCGGUGUUCAUGCUAACGUUACCUAUCAGAAAAUGCUAACAACACUGUAUUUUUAAUAUUGUAUGAUUAGGUUAAGGGUAUGCUGAAACCUUUGGGGAUUAUUUUUUUUUAAAUAUAUAUAAUUUAUCGUGUUUAGGAGGAAGGAAGAAUAACGAAAUUCGUAAGAAAAGGAAAGAAGAACCAGGAACCAGGAAAUAAACUAUAUGAUUGCACAAACGCCCAGAAACUGACAAUAAGAAUAGAAUACGAUAAGAAUCGCAAAAAAUAAGGAAGUAGAAAAUGUGUCCACAACAAGUGACUUAAGACAAAGGUCAUUUAGUUGGGCUUUAAGGCUUAAAUGUUCAUAUUUAAAGAGCAUAUGCGUUUUUGUUAAGUCCAAAACAAUAUUGAAGAGGAAGUGACAUCCAAAAAGCUAAAUGUGCACUUCGCAGUCUGAUCACAAAGAAGAUUACUACAAUAAGCAAACAUAUAAUAAGGCAUGUGACCAGCAGGAUCAACAGGGACAGAAAUUAGCAUGAGCUUCACACCUUGUGAGUUGUUGGCAUUUUUGGUCAGGAAUUCUUCAGGUGCUGUGUCUGAACUGAGAGGGGGCUACACUUUGCAAUAGAAAGAAAAAGUGACUGCUGUAAGUGGUCUUAUUUUCUUGUGUGGUUCGAUCUUGCAGCGAGAGAAAACUUGCCACUGUGACACAUAAAGCAACAUUCUUGCACUGGAACAGGAAACAGUGGUGUUAAAACGUUACUCACACAGUUGUACACAUAUUAAACAGAUGUAGUUCUAAAUCAGGCUACAUGGAGGUGUAAAUAUUUUAGUCAUAUGUAAAAAUGACCCUAACGCCUAUUG
Molecule: long non-coding RNA, 1294 nt
Organism: Cyprinus carpio (common carp)
Lineage: Eukaryota; Metazoa; Chordata; Actinopteri; Cypriniformes; Cyprinidae
Source: RefSeq, a predicted model, not a curated record